RNAcentral lists this ribosomal RNA (433 nucleotides) under uncultured bacterium. RNAcentral's name for it is "partial 16S ribosomal RNA". It matches the Rfam family "Bacterial small subunit ribosomal RNA", at positions 29 to 507 of the family's 1533-position model. The record is from RNAcentral.
AACGAACGCUGGCGGCAUGCCUAACACAUGCAAGUCGAACGAGACCUUCGGGUCUAGUGGCGCCCGGGUGCGUAACGCGUGGGAACCUGCCCUUAGGUUCGGAAUAACUCCCCGAAAGGGGUGCUAAUACCGGAUAAUGUCUUCGGACCAAAGAUUUAUCGCCUUUGGAUGGGCCCGCGUUGGAUUAGCUAGUUGGUAGGGUAAAAGCCUACCAAGGCGACGAUCCAUAGCUGGUCUGAGAGGAUGAUCAGCCACACUGGGACUGAGACACGGCCCAGACUCCUACGGGAGGCAGCAGUGGGGAAUAUUGGACAAUGGGCGAAAGCCUGAUCCAGCAAUGCCGCGUGAGUGAUGAAGGCCUUAGGGUUGUAAAGCUCUUUUACCCGGGAUGAUAAUGACAGUACCGGGAGAAUAAGCUCCGGCUAACUCCGUG